GGGGGCAUAGCUCAGUUGGGAGAGCAGUAGACUGAAGCACACUUGUAUUCUAAAGGUCCCGCGUUCGAUCCGCGGUGCCCCCA
RNAcentral lists this transfer RNA (83 nucleotides) under Crepidotus variabilis. Its description in RNAcentral is "tRNA-Phe". The record is from RNAcentral. Lineage: Eukaryota; Fungi; Basidiomycota; Agaricomycetes; Agaricales; Crepidotaceae.